AUGAAUACCCAAGAGGACAAGCAGACUGUUCUAAGCACAUUACCCAAGGACCUACCUCUAGACUUCUUGAGGACCAUCACAGAUCAGUUCUCAGAGAGCCGUGUUGUCGGUAAAGGUGCAUUUGGAACAGUUUAUACGGGAACUAUGCCUGAUGGGCAAACGAUUGCUGUGAAGAAGCUUGCGGAAAAUGCGCCGAUCGCACGCGACAAAAUAUUUAAUAACGAAGUUCAAAACAUCAUGGCUUACCGGCAUGAGAAUAUAGUCAAGUUGGUUGGGUUUUGCCAUGAAGGACAGAAGAAAGUAGUACUGAACAAUGGGCGAUAUAUUGUCGCAGAUGUUUACGAAGGUCUACUCUGUUACGAAUAUUUACCUAAGGGAAGCCUUCAGAGGAACCUCUUUGAUAAACCCAUCGAUAUGGCAUGGGACGUCCGCUUCAAGAUAAUUAAGGGGAUAUGCGAUGGUUUACAUUUUCUUCAUAGCAUUCCUAUUAUCCAUAUGGAUUUGAAGCCUCAAAAUAUAUUGUUGGAUGAUAACAUGACGCCGAAAAUCGCGGAUUUCGGACUUUCCAGGCUAUUUGGCAAAGAACAAACACGUGCGAAUACACAGAAUGUUGUGGGAUCAUACGGAUAUAUAGCUCCAGAAUACCUAUACAGAGGUGAAAUCUCCACUCAGUCAGACAUUUACAGUUUAGGCUUAUUAAUCAUCGAGACUACCACUGGCGAGAAGAAUACCCCCAAACAGAACGAACCAUCAGCAAGGGAAUUUAUUGAAAGAGUACGUCAAAAUUGGACAGAAGGGCACAUAGCAUCCAUAUACCAGUUAAAUCCAAAUGCCCUCCAGGAAGUAACAGUAUGCAUUGAAAUUGGUCUAGAGUGUGUGGACGUUGAUCGGAAGAAGAGACCUUCCAUCGAAAGCAUUGUUGAGAGGCUCGGUAGAUGCUCUGCAAACCUGGUCUCCACCACUUCCAUGCGAACAUGA
RNAcentral lists this ribosomal RNA (978 nucleotides) under Triticum aestivum (bread wheat). RNAcentral describes it as "partial small subunit ribosomal RNA". The record is from RNAcentral. Lineage: Eukaryota; Viridiplantae; Streptophyta; Magnoliopsida; Poales; Poaceae.